GGCCAGGCUGACUUGGCUGGCUGCGUGAGUGUCCCUUCCUCCUUCACUCUCCCACAUGUGCUCCUCCCACAGCUACACUUUAGUUGGAGUGUAUGAUGUCCCCAAUGGAGAACUGUUUGUUCCUAAGCCAAGGAUGUGCAAGUAUCCUCACUGGCCUUCUAGAACUUUCAAAGAAGAUUUCUUGGUAAACCUCCAAGAACUCAGGAAAAGUAUGGCAAGUAGGCAGGGUCACAGAGGGAGUCGCCAUGGCCCUUAGGAUCGGAGGCUGCUUUUCCU
RNAcentral lists this small nuclear RNA (276 nucleotides) under Mus caroli (Ryukyu mouse). RNAcentral describes it as "sRNA (MGP_CAROLIEiJ_G0008623.1)". It matches the Rfam family "7SK RNA", at positions 55 to 331 of the family's 331-position model. Rfam says of the family: 7SK was discovered as an abundant small nuclear RNA in the mid-70s but a possible function has only recently been suggested. The record is from RNAcentral. Lineage: Eukaryota; Metazoa; Chordata; Mammalia; Rodentia; Muridae.